GGUUUCUGCUAAGUCGCAAGACGAUGUAUAGGAGCUGACGCCUGCCCGGUGCUGGAAGGUUAAGGGGAUCUGUUAGAGCAAUAGAAGCAGUGAACUUAAGCCCCAGUAAACGGCGGCCGUAACUAUAACGGUCCUAAGGUAGCGAAAUUCCUUGUCGGGUAAGUUCCGACCCGCACGAAAGGCGUAACGAUUUGGGCACUGUCUCAACAACAGACUCGGUGAAAUUGUAAUUCCGGUGAAGAUGCCGGAUACCUGCGACAGGACGGAAAGACCCCAUGGAGCUUUACUGUAGCUUGACAUUGGGUCUUGGUACUACAUGUACAGGAUAGGUGGGAGGCUUUGAAACCAGGACGCCAGUUUUGGCGGAGCCAUCCUUGGGAUACCACCCUUGUAGUACUGGGACUCUAACCAUAGGCCAUGAAUCUGGUCUUGGGACACUGUCAGGUGGGCAGUUUGACUGGGGCGGUCGCCUCCCAAAAGGUAACGGAGGCGCUCAAAGGUUCUCUCAGUACGGUCGGAAAUCGUACGUAGAGUGUAAAGGCAAAAGAGAGCUUGAUUGCAAGACAUACAGGUCGAGCAAGGAUGAAAAUCGGACUUAGUGAUCCGGUGGUUCUGCGUGGAAGGGCCAUCGCUCAACGGAUAAAAGCUACCCUGGGGAUAACAGGCUUAUCUCCCCCAAGAGUCCACAUCGACGGGGAGGUUUGGCACCUCGAUGUCGGCUCAUCACAUCCUGGGGCUGUAGUAGGUCCCAAGGGUUGGGCUGUUCGCCCAUUAAAGUGGUACGCGAGCUGGGUUCAGAACGUCGUGAGACAGUUCGGUCCCUAUCCGUCGCAGGCGUAGGAAAUUUGAGAAGACCUGUCCUUAGUACGAGAGGACCGGGAUGGACGUACCUCUGGUGUACCAGUUGUUCUGCCAAGGGCAUGGCUGGGUAGCUAUGUA
Molecule: ribosomal RNA, 939 nt
Filed under: Clostridioides difficile
Lineage: Bacteria; Bacillati; Bacillota; Clostridia; Peptostreptococcales; Peptostreptococcaceae
Description: bacterial LSU rRNA
Rfam family: Bacterial large subunit ribosomal RNA
Source: RNAcentral